Molecule: ribosomal RNA, 589 nt
Filed under: Hanseniaspora uvarum
Lineage: Eukaryota; Fungi; Ascomycota; Saccharomycetes; Saccharomycodales; Saccharomycodaceae
Description: eukaryotic LSU rRNA
Rfam family: Eukaryotic large subunit ribosomal RNA
Source: RNAcentral
CGGAGGAAAAGAAACCAACUGGGAUUACCUUAGUAACGGCGAGUGAAGCGGUAAAAGCUCAAAUUUGAAAUCUGGUACUUUCAGUGCCCGAGUUGUAAUUUGUAGAAUUUGUCUUUGAUUAGGUCCUUGUCUAUGUUCCUUGGAACAGGACGUCAUAGAGGGUGAGAAUCCCGUUUGGCGAGGAUACCUUUUCUCUGUAAGACUUUUUCGAAGAGUCGAGUUGUUUGGGAAUGCAGCUCAAAGUGGGUGGUAAAUUCCAUCUAAAGCUAAAUAUUGGCGAGAGACCGAUAGCGAACAAGUACAGUGAUGGAAAGAUGAAAAGAACUUUGAAAAGAGAGUGAAAAAGUACGUGAAAUUGUUGAAAGGGAAGGGCAUUUGAUCAGACAUGGUGUUUUUUGCAUGCACUCGCCUCUCGUGGGCUUGGGCCUCUCAAAAAUUUCACUGGGCCAACAUCAAUUCUGGCAGCAGGAUAAAUCAUUAAGAAUGUAGCUACUUCGGUAGUGUUAUAGCUUUUUGGAAUACUGUUAGCCGGGAUUGAGGACUGCGCUUCGGCAAGGAUGUUGGCAUAAUGGUUAAAUGCCGCCCGUCU